RNAcentral lists this ribosomal RNA (407 nucleotides) under uncultured Angustibacter sp. RNAcentral describes it as "bacterial SSU rRNA". It matches the Rfam family "Bacterial small subunit ribosomal RNA", at positions 355 to 774 of the family's 1533-position model. The record is from RNAcentral. Lineage: Bacteria; Bacillati; Actinomycetota; Actinomycetes; Kineosporiales; Kineosporiaceae.
UGGGGAAUAUUGCACAAUGGGCGCAAGCCUGAUGCAGCGACGCCGCGUGAGGGACGAAGGCCUUCGGGUUGUAAACCUCUUUCAGCAGGGAAGAAGCGAAAGUGACGGUACCUGCAGAAGAAGCACCGGCUAACUACGUGCCAGCAGCCGCGGUAAUACGUAGGGUGCAAGCGUUGUCCGGAAUUAUUGGGCGUAAAGAGCUCGUAGGCGGUUUGUCGCGUCCGCUGUGAAAACUCAGGGCUUAACCCUGAGCCUGCAGUGGGUACGGGCAGACUAGAGUGUGGUAGGGGAGAUCGGAAUUCCUGGUGUAGCGGUGGAAUGCGCAGAUAUCAGGAGGAACACCGGUGGCGAAGGCGGAUCUCUGGGCCAUAACUGACGCUGAGGAGCGAAAGCAUGGGGAGCGAACA